UCUCGGCAGAUGUUCACGGGUAGUGUCCCCAGAAAAUAAGCAUGAGGAGAAGAGCCAGCAAACGUGUUCAUUUUGUUUAACCCACGUUUACUUCUUCUUUCUAACUUAUUAUUUGUAACGUUAUUAGCCAGGCCAUCCGGUGUAGUAUCAGUAGUCAUGUUUUAAGCCUUUCCUGUUGUGUUCCUGAGCCUGCCUGUUGCUGACAUACAGUAGUUUCUGACUGUGAUCCUUAAUAAUGGCCAAAUGAGGCUGUCCUGAAGCAAUGAGGCUUUGCGGUCCACGCUAUCACCAAAAGUCCCCUAGGUGUCUCUCUGCUACUUCUACUCUCCUCCCACCAUCACCUGAAACUGCUGGUACUGCUCCAAGGAUACUGUCAGGUGGUCCGCUGUUGUCUGCCACAUACACCAUCUUCCCUGUCACUCCAUUGUGGUCAUCUCCUGGGCCCUGCUCCUACUCUGUUGCCUCCGGCCACACUGCCCAGGGUGUGUCUGUUCUCAGAAACUAAGCAGGGCUGGGCCUGCUCAGUACCUGGAUCCGAGACUGCCUGGGAAAAUCAGGUGAUGUAGGUUUGAACCUCCUCUGCUAGAUGAUCUAUAUACCAAUCUGUCUGAUCUGAUUCACUUG
This is a long non-coding RNA of Monopterus albus (swamp eel), 624 nucleotides long. RefSeq lists it as uncharacterized. The transcript has 3 exons. Lineage: Eukaryota; Metazoa; Chordata; Actinopteri; Synbranchiformes; Synbranchidae. The record is from RefSeq and is a predicted model, not a curated record.